RNAcentral lists this long non-coding RNA (667 nucleotides) under Marmota monax (woodchuck). Lineage: Eukaryota; Metazoa; Chordata; Mammalia; Rodentia; Sciuridae. The record is from RNAcentral.
GUGUGUGUGUGUGUUUUUUUAUAUCACCAUUAAUAAUCAACCUGCUGGAAGAGUUGUUUUUGAAUUAUUUUCUGAUGUGUGUCCCAAAACAGCAAGGACUUUCAUUGUCUUUGUGGGUGAAAGGGGACAGGGAAAUCAACUCAGAAGCCAUUGCAUUAUAAGAGUUGUCUCAUCCACAGAGAUGUCAAGGAUUUUAUGGUUCCAGGGUGGUGACUUCAGUGAAGGAAAUGGAGGAAGGGGGAAUCUAUUUAUGGAGGAUGUUUUAAAGAUGAAAGUUUUGCUGUUAAACACAACAAUGAAUUUCUCUUGUCAAUGGCCAACAGAGGGAAGGAUACAAAUGGUUCACAAUUCUUCAUAACAACAAAACCAAUUCCUCAUCUACACGGGCAUCAUGUUGUUUUUGGGCAAAUGAUCUCUGGCCAAAAAGUUGUAAGAGAGAGAGAAAUCCAGAAAACAGAUGACAGCUAGCAAACUAUUUGCUGAAGUACAGAUGCUGAGUUGUGGAGAACAAAUUCCCAAAUGUAAAGUUAAGAAAGAAGAAAAGAAAGGCAUAAGUCAUCAUCAUCUUCCUCAUUGUCAGCCAGUGAUUCAGAUAGCUCAAAAGAUUCUCAGUCCUCUGCUGAUGCUUCUGACUCUGAAAGUGCUUCUGAAGAGAAGUCAAAAAAAA